GAAAACCAUUAUUUUACUUCUCUGUUUACUGCAGUGGAUUUUUAAAAUCAGAUUCUCAAGCCUCUGAAAAGCCAGACCCGUGAGCCUGCAAUGAGUUUGAAGGCAAAUUGUGGAACCCUUACAGAUCAAAUCAGACCAAAUAUAAAAUGUUUGGUAGUGCAAUAAAUAUGCAAAGAAUA
This is a long non-coding RNA of Carlito syrichta (Philippine tarsier), 179 nucleotides long. RefSeq lists it as uncharacterized. The record is from RefSeq and is a predicted model, not a curated record. The transcript is spliced from 2 exons. NCBI's taxonomy places the organism in Eukaryota, Metazoa, Chordata, Mammalia, Primates, Tarsiidae.